Molecule: ribosomal RNA, 449 nt
Filed under: uncultured bacterium
Lineage: Bacteria
Description: SSU rRNA
Rfam family: Bacterial small subunit ribosomal RNA
Source: RNAcentral
AGAACGAACGCUGGCGGCAGGCCUCAAACAUGCAAGUCUAGGGGGUGUAGCAAUACAUCACCGGCGGACGGGUGCGUAACACGUGGGAAUAUACCUUUUGGUUCGGAACAACGCAGGGAAACUUGCGCUAAUACCGAAUGUGCCCUUACGGGGAAAGAUUUAUCGCCAAAGGAUUGGCCCGCGUAGGAUUAGCUAGUUGGUGAGGUAAUGGCUCACCAAGGCUCCGAUCCUUAGCUGUUCUGAGAGGAAGAUCAGCCACACUGGGACUGAGACACGGCCCAGACUCCUACGGGAGGCAGCAGUUGGGAAUCUUGGACAAUGGGGAAACCCUGAUCCAGCCAUGCCGCGUGAGUGAUGAAGGCCUUCGGGUUGUAAACUCUGUCGGAGGGAAGAACACAAUGACGGUACCCUCCAAGAAACGCCCCGGCUAACUACGUGCCAGCAGCCGC